CCGGCGACCGGCGCACGGGUGAGUAACACGUAUGCAACCUGCCCUCUUCGAGGGGGACAACCUUCCGAAAGGGAGGCUAAUCCCGCGUAUAUCGGUUUCGGGCAUCCGAGAUCGAGGAAAGAUUCAUCGGAAGAGGAUGGGCAUGCGGCGCAUUAGCUAGACGGCGGGGUAACGGCCCACCGUGGCGACGAUGCGUAGGGGUUCUGAGAGGAAGGUCCCCCACACUGGUACUGAGACACGGACCAGACUCCUACGGAAGGCAGCAG
RNAcentral lists this ribosomal RNA (266 nucleotides) under uncultured bacterium. RNAcentral's name for it is "partial 16S ribosomal RNA". It matches the Rfam family "Bacterial small subunit ribosomal RNA", at positions 88 to 354 of the family's 1533-position model. The record is from RNAcentral.